Molecule: ribosomal RNA, 2004 nt
Filed under: Clostridioides difficile
Lineage: Bacteria; Bacillati; Bacillota; Clostridia; Peptostreptococcales; Peptostreptococcaceae
Description: partial 23S ribosomal RNA
Rfam family: Bacterial large subunit ribosomal RNA
Source: RNAcentral
UUUAACUGAGCGUUCAGUUACUUGACGUAGACCCGAAACCGGGCGACCUACCCAUGAGCAGGAUGAAGCGAAAGUAAAAUUUCGUGGAGGUCCGAACCCACGAGCGUUGAAAAGCUCGGGGAUGACUUGUGGGUAGCGGUGAAAUUCCAAUCGAGCCCGGAGAUAGCUGGUUCUCCCCGAAAUAGCUUUAGGGCUAGCCUCAAGGUGAGAGAUACGGAGGUAGAGCACUGAAUGUCCUAGGGGGUAUUGCACCUACCGAAGACUAUCAAACUCCGAAUGCCGUCAUCUUAUACUUGGGAGUCAGACUGUGGGUGAUAAGAUUCAUAGUCGAAAGGGCAACAGCCCAGAUCGUCAGCUAAGGUCCCUAAAUGUAAGUUAAGUGGUAAAGGAUGUGGGAUUGCACAGACAACCAGGAUGUUGGCUUAGAAGCAGCCACUCAUUCAAAGAGUGCGUAAUAGCUCACUGGUCGAGUGAUCCUGCGCCGAAGAUUUCCGGGGCUAAAACUUACUACCGAAGCUACGGCAUCAGUAAUGAUGGGUAGGGGAGCUUCCCAUACGGGUUGAAGCAUGACCGUAAGGACAUGUGGACAGUAUGGGAGUGAGAAUGUUGGCAUGAGUAGCGAGAUGUGGGUGAGAAUCCCACAGGCCGUAAACCCAAGGUUUCCAGGGGAAGGUUCGUCCGCCCUGGGUUAGUCGGGACCUAAGCUGAGGCCGAAAGGCGUAGGUGAUGGACAACAGGUUGAUAUUCCUGUACUACCGAUAACCGUUUGAGAGAAGGGAUGACACAGUAGGAUAAGCUAAGCACACUGUUGGUUAUGUGUGCCCAAGCAUUGAGGCAGUCAAAGUAGGCAAAUCCGCUUUGAUAAUGCUGGGAUGUGAUGGGGAGCGAAAUUUAGUAGCGAAGUAGCUGAUUUCACACUGUCAAGAAAAGUCUCUAUCGAGGUUAAAGGUACCCGUACCGCAAACCGACACAGGUGGGUGAGGAGAGUAUCCUAAGGCCAGCGAGAGAACUGUUGUUAAGGAACUCGGCAAAAUGACCCCGUAACUUAGGGAUAAGGGGUGCCACCAUCAGGUGGCCGCAGAGAAUAGGCCCAAGCGACUGUUUACCAAAAACAUAGGUUUCUGCUAAGUCGCAAGACGAUGUAUAGGAGCUGACGCCUGCCCGGUGCUGGAAGGUUAAGGGGAUCUGUUAGAGCAAUCGAAGCAGUGAACUUAAGCCCCAGUAAACGGCGGCCGUAACUAUAACGGUCCUAAGGUAGCGAAAUUCCUUGUCGGGUAAGUUCCGACCCGCACGAAAGGCGUAACGAUUUGGGCACUGUCUCAACAACAGACUCGGUGAAAUUGUAAUUCCGGUGAAGAUGCCGGAUACCUGCGACAGGACGGAAAGACCCCAUGGAGCUUUACUGUAGCUUGACAUUGGGUCUUGGUACUACAUGUACAGGAUAGGUGGGAGGCUUUGAAACCAGGACGCCAGUUUUGGCGGAGCCAUCCUUGGGAUACCACCCUUGUAGUACUGGGACUCUAACCAUAGGCCAUGAAUCUGGUCUUGGGACACUGUCAGGUGGGCAGUUUGACUGGGGCGGUCGCCUCCCAAAAGGUAACGGAGGCGCUCAAAGGUUCUCUCAGUACGGUCGGAAAUCGUACGUAGAGUGUAAAGGCAAAAGAGAGCUUGAUUGCAAGACAUACAGGUCGAGCAAGGAUGAAAAUCGGACUUAGUGAUCCGGUGGUUCUGCGUGGAAGGGCCAUCGCUCAACGGAUAAAAGCUACCCUGGGGAUAACAGGCUUAUCUCCCCCAAGAGUCCACAUCGACGGGGAGGUUUGGCACCUCGAUGUCGGCUCAUCACAUCCUGGGGCUGUAGUAGGUCCCAAGGGUUGGGCUGUUCGCCCAUUAAAGUGGUACGCGAGCUGGGUUCAGAACGUCGUGAGACAGUUCGGUCCCUAUCCGUCGCAGGCGUAGGAAAUUUGAGAAGACCUGUCCUUAGUACGAGAGGACCGGGAUGGACGU